GCACUACUUGCAAUCACACCAUCCUACAAAUCACAGAUUAAAAAGUUACCCAUCACUUGGAAUUUUGAGAAUAAGAUAUAAAGUCACUCUUGCUGAGGAGCCAUGUAAUUAUUUCCAAAUGUAUUUUGAGAAAGACUACGAUACUUGGCUAUAUUAGUUACUUUCUCUAAGCUUGCACAAAAAUGACAGAGCUUGAUUAGCAAUAGAUCCCAAUGCUAAAGUAUCGGAAGGCAAUCUAAAGGAAUAUAGGAGUAAUUUAAUUUACAGAGAGAAACAUUAAGAAUCGUGAAAAGAAAAAAGAUGCACCUGAUACAGAAAAUAUGUGACAGGCGGCUCAAUGUCGUCUCCUCUUUGAUCUCAACCAAAUAACACUGCCUCUGUUAAGACAGUAAGACGCCAAAUACUGAUACAUUUUCCACUUCAUAAAUUCAUGCAAGCAAAUUUGACACUUGUGCUUCAUGAAUAUAUCCCAUUUUUUCAACAAUGUGUGACAUAGCCCAACAUUGAGACAAGGAGAGUUGGUGCAUCUUAGUAUUUAACUAUCAUAUCUGAAACUAAAUAAGAUACAAUUUACCAAGGUUUAUAGCCUAGCAGUAACAGUGGGAGUCACCAACAUAGUAGCUACUAGGUGUGAUAUUAAUUUUUUUCAUUGUUUCUCCCUGCUUCCCCUUUCAGAAGAACUUGGUACCCAAUAAAAGUAAGAUAGGAAAUUUUGAGGGAAAAAACAAAAUUAGAGUACUAAUAUAUCAAGUUAAUUGCUCUAUAUUAACUUCCUAUGCAGAGGUAUUAUGAUAGGGAGAUACUUUUGAGUAUAUGUUGCUUAUUCUUUUACUA
This 834-nucleotide long non-coding RNA is filed under the name Capsicum annuum. RNAcentral's name for it is "long non-coding RNA (CANN_LNC022004)". The record is from RNAcentral. Lineage: Eukaryota; Viridiplantae; Streptophyta; Magnoliopsida; Solanales; Solanaceae.